CAGCUGUCAGGACAGGGUCCGUGAGGGACACAGUACUUGGUCCUAGACGCAAAAAGAAAAAGUCAGAUUGCUCCUACCACACUCGCCUAGAAACUUUCCCCAUCAGGAGUGUAAUAAGAGAAAGAAUGAGAAAGGGAAAAGCAGAAAUGUUGGUGGAGUGGGAGCCCUGUCCAGUAUGUGGCAAGGAGUGGGCUCAUUCCUGGCAGCCGAAGAAUUCUCC
Trematomus bernacchii (emerald rockcod) is the source of this 220-nucleotide long non-coding RNA. RefSeq lists it as uncharacterized. The record is from RefSeq and is a predicted model, not a curated record. The transcript has 4 exons. NCBI's taxonomy places the organism in Eukaryota, Metazoa, Chordata, Actinopteri, Perciformes, Nototheniidae.